RNAcentral lists this ribosomal RNA (468 nucleotides) under uncultured bacterium. RNAcentral's name for it is "partial 16S ribosomal RNA". It matches the Rfam family "Bacterial small subunit ribosomal RNA", at positions 28 to 507 of the family's 1533-position model. The record is from RNAcentral.
GACGAACGCUGGCGGCGUGCUUAACACAUGCAAGUCGAACGGAAAGGCCCUGCUUUUGUGGGGUGAUCGAGUGGCGAACGCGUGCGUAACACGUGAGUAUCCUGCCCUUGUUUUUCGGGUAACUUAAGGAAACUGGGGCUAAUCCCGGAUCGGAGACGCUGUUGCAGGGAGGGGGUUGGAAAGUUUCGGCGGUCGUGGUUGGACUAGCGGCUUACGAGCUUGUUGGUGGGGUAGGGGCUUACCAAGGAUUUGACGGGUCGCCGGCCUGGGAGGGUGACCGGCGUCCAUGGUACUGAGAGACGGCGCAGACUGCAACAGGAGGCAGCAGUGGGGAGUAUUACACAAUGAUCGGGAGUCUGAGGCGGCAGCGCCGGGUGCGUGAUGACGGCCUUCGGGGUGUGAACCGCUUUCGCCUGUUACGAAGCUGGAGUGACGGUAAUGAAUAAAGAAGCACCGGCUAACUACGUG